Salmo salar (Atlantic salmon) is the source of this 522-nucleotide non-coding RNA. The record is from RefSeq and is a predicted model, not a curated record. NCBI's taxonomy places the organism in Eukaryota, Metazoa, Chordata, Actinopteri, Salmoniformes, Salmonidae.
CGCCAGCUGACUUUAACGUGCUUUUGAAAAGCGGUAUCAUCGAACAUAAAGAUAAUACAUUAACACACAUUAAAUGUGGGAGAGGGGGAGAUACAUUUCCAUAUGAGGAAUUCCAGACGGCCAGUGCCAACCAUAGGAAUUCAGGUUACGUCAUUCCGCCAGCCAGCCAGUCCUAUAACUGUGGGAACGAAGCAUAGACUGACACAAAGCUCGACGUGUGACUGUUCAACUGUGAGUGAAAACUUGACUGACUUGACUUUAGAGAUCACCCUCCACUGGGAGAAGACAGAGUUGGGGCUGAGGCUGUUCAUAUCGAAGGCAGACCUGGCUCCUAGGAGGUCGUCAGUACACACGUCACAAUCACUGCCGCCGAUGGCAAAGUUCCAGUAGGGGAGGGCAAAGGUGGCAUCGCCCAACAUGUCCUGGAGAGGAUGGAGAGAUGCAGGUGGAACCUGUGCCAGGUGACAAAUCCCGGUCCUUCGUGAGAGAAGUCCACACCCCCAAAGCUAGCCUGCCCCGCCC